Molecule: ribosomal RNA, 637 nt
Filed under: Salmonella enterica subsp. enterica serovar Brandenburg
Lineage: Bacteria; Pseudomonadati; Pseudomonadota; Gammaproteobacteria; Enterobacterales; Enterobacteriaceae
Description: partial 23S ribosomal RNA
Rfam family: Bacterial large subunit ribosomal RNA
Source: RNAcentral
CGUUCAACCGCAAAAGAAGCAGAGGGGGCUUAGUGGUGGGGUGACUGCGUACCUUUUGUAUAAUGGGUCAGCGACUUAUAUUCUGUAGCAAGGUUAACCGUAUAGGGGAGCCGGAGGGAAACCGAGUCUUAAUUGGGCGUUAAGUUGCAGGGUAUAGACCCGAAACCCGGUGAUCUAGCCAUGGGCAGGUUGAAGGUUGGGUAACACUAACUGGAGGACCGAACCGACUAAUGUUGAAAAAUUAGCGGAUGACCUGUGGCUGGGGGUGAAAGGCCAAUCAAACCGGGAGAUAGCUGGUUCUCCCCGAAAGCUAUUUAGGUAGCGCCUCGUGAAUUCAUCUCCGGGGGUAGAGCACUGUUUCGGCUAGGGGGCCAUCCCGGCUUACCAACCCGAUGCAAACUGCGAAUACCGGAGAAUGUUAUCACGGGAGACACACGGCGGGUGCUAACGUCCGUCGUGAAGAGGGAAACAACCCAGACCGCCAGCUAAGGUCCCAAAGUCAUGGUUAAGUGGGAAACGAUGUGGGAAGGCCCAGACAGCCAGGAUGUUGGCUUAGAAGCAGCCAUCAUUUAAAGAAAGCGUAAUAGCUCACUGGUCGAGUCGGCCUGCGCGGAAGAUGUAACGGGGCUAAACCAUG